Long non-coding RNA from Centruroides sculpturatus (bark scorpion), 738 nucleotides. RefSeq lists it as uncharacterized. The record is from RefSeq and is a predicted model, not a curated record. The transcript is spliced from 3 exons. NCBI's taxonomy places the organism in Eukaryota, Metazoa, Arthropoda, Arachnida, Scorpiones, Buthidae.
UAUCUUGAUUUAUUUGAGUUAUUUUUUCUCUCUCCUAUUUAAUUAUAUAUAAAUAUAGUUUCUUUUUUUUUUCGCACGGAUUUGGACGACCACUCUUCUCUCGGUAAAACGUAGAAAGACGGAACGCCUCUAGCGGCAGGUUUUUAUAUCGUCUGGCUCGUCGCCUUUUAUUGGUCGGAGGUACACGCACUGUUCACAUGCACGGCCGGUCACGUGGGCUGGAAUGGCCAAUCGCGCGGCGCCAAACGACGAAUCACGUGAUUAUCGACGGAAACGCAGAAGAAAUAUUAUAAUUUUAUUAAUAAUGGAUGCGUAUUUUGCUCCGUGUCAAAAUUUUUUAUUAUUGUUAUUUUUUUCUUGUGUUUUCUUCCACAUACUUUAUCUUUUUCUGUUUCGUUAAUGGGAUAGACACUUUAAGUAUGACCUUUCGACCUUUAAACGCAAGAAUUUUGGAAAGUGUGUGGCAAUUCCUCGAUUUCCACAUUUUGUAUACGUUUCAACAAUAUUGGAUUUAUCAUAAAUGCUUUCGAAUUUUAAGGAGGCAAAAAUAAAAAAAAUAAAACCGACACACACCCGUGCAAACAGCGGUAGGUGUAGUAGAUUAAUACGUCAUAGUUAACAGACGUCACGUCACGCAAUGGUAUCGGUUGUCUCGUCUACACACGCUUUGUAUAUAAAUAAAGGAAUUGUCGUUAAAGAAAUUUUCAGCAUCGAUUUUUCUUCUUUCUUUUCACAAUU